GACGGCAGAACCAGGUCUUGACCAUAAAAUCAGAUUUAUUUGGAGAAAACAAAACACCGACAACCCAAAGGAUGGGAUUUUACGUCAAGACAUCUCCCAGGUAAUAAGUCUACAGAUUAAAUCAUUUUCAUGGAAGAUAUUUUUGUACAAAUUUUACAUGUAUUCAGGAGCCGGACAUUAAUCAAUCCCUGUUUCUAUUUUAAAAGGGAGGACAAAGUAGGGGAGGGGGAAAACAGUUUUGGAUAUAACUAUUUGGAAGGAGAGUAGACAUGAAGAGGGCAAACCCUAGCUUUUCAUUAUCUACAACCAAUGUUUUUUUUCUUUUAAAAAAAAAAUAAAACAAAAACUUUUCAAUCUUCAACACUCUUUAAAAGCCCACUUCUUAGCUACUGGCCAAUCCACAGCAAUUAUUUAAUUCACUUGGUACACACCUUUGUCCUCUGGGUAAAUUAUAUUCAUUAUGCCCACUGCUGCAGCACGCAUAAACCAACACCCCUGCAUGGCUGAACAGGGCCUAAUCUAGGACUGAUGGGAGAAGGGCUUGCAAACCAAGAUCAAGGUGUCGUUUCUCUGCUAAUACUGUCUACAAAGCUGAUCCCUACAAAAAUGCACAUAAAAGCAGGCAAGUUUAUCUACUGUGUUGCAAGGGAAACCAGGACUUUGUUAAAUAGUUCUCUCCAUUACCAUUUGUUCUCUCAAGGGAAGCUUAAAAAAAAAAUAAAGAAAAACAGCACAUUGGUCUGCCCCCCUCAUGAAUCCAACAAGCAUUGGUGUGGCAUUUCAGUGGAGAAGGAAACUUGGGGGGAAAAAGCCCAUCAAGGUUGUAAGAAGACUCCCAAUUUAACUGUCCCUUUCCCUAUUUAUCCACCAUCCAAGACCAUCCAUUAUUCUAGAGCACUCUGAUCUAUAAAAGGGGUCAAAGCAUCAGGAGCAGGCAAGGAGUGAGAACCAAAAGACAUCAAGAAACCGAUUUGCUUGAGAAAAGCAGCGAUUCUUCCUUUCAUAGCUCUCCAUGGCUGAGAGAGAAAAUGCCCGAGACAUCAUGUAUGUGACUUAGAGACUGCUUUUCGGGAGGUUAAAAGUAGCAUGAAGAGCUUAAGAUGACGAUAAGAGUCUAAAUUUUUAGUUUCAAGGUUUCAGUAGAAUGUGGAUAUAUUCAAACUUUCAAAAAGGACAGUGUUUAGAAAGGGUAAAACUAGGACACAGAAAACAUUGGGAAUUACCACGACCUCCAAGUGCUUCCGGCUCCAGGAAAUAACCAUUCAUGUGUUUGCUGGAGGUCACAUAAUUUUCCCCUAUUACCUGGUGCAGAAUGACUCAUCACUUCCCAAAAGCUUCUUUUCAGUCCACAAUUUUCCCAUUUAUUUUGGUGCAAUGCAGUCCCAUUCUUUAUGGCCUACCGUCUCACUCCCAACUACCCUCCUGGGAGUAAAAAAAAAAAAGGAAUUCCCCCUAGGCUGGCCCCCAAAACUCAGAAUUAAAUAAGAGGAGGGGCUGGCAGCCUCCUGGAGACUAAAACAACUUGAGGCUAAAUCUACCUUUCCAAGGGUGGAAAAUUUAUUCAGAUAAUGUUUGAGAAUUCAUAUAUGCCACCAUAGGAUAAAAACUAAAAGGUAGAAAUCUCACACUUUUCCUUCUACCUCCCUCCCAUACUGCCCAACCAGGUUCCAGGCGUUAUAUCACUGUCAUUACCACUUCUGCUAAAUGGAGACC
RNAcentral lists this long non-coding RNA (1713 nucleotides) under Homo sapiens (human). Its description in RNAcentral is "HSALNT0050175". The record is from RNAcentral. Lineage: Eukaryota; Metazoa; Chordata; Mammalia; Primates; Hominidae.